Molecule: ribosomal RNA, 466 nt
Filed under: uncultured bacterium
Lineage: Bacteria
Description: partial 16S ribosomal RNA
Rfam family: Bacterial small subunit ribosomal RNA
Source: RNAcentral
GAUGAACGCUGGCGGCGUGCUUAACACAUGCAAGUCGAACGAUGAAGCCCAGCUUGCUGGGUGGUUUAGUGGCGAACGGGUGAGUAACACGUGAGUAACCUGCCCUUAACUCUGGGAUAAGCCUGGGAAACUGGGUCUAUUACCGGAUAGGAGCGCCUACCGCAUGGUGGGUGUUGGAAAGAUUUAUCGGUUUUGGAUGGACUCGCGGCCUAUCAGCUUGUUGGUGAGGUAAUGGCUCACCAAGGCGACGACGGGUAGCCGGCCUGAGAGGGUGACCGGGCACACGGGGACUGAGACACGGCCCAGUCGCCAACGGGGGGCAACAGGGGAGAAUAUUGCACAAUGGGGGAAAGUGUGAGGAAAAGGUGCUGGGUGAGGGAAGAACGCCUUCGGGGUGGAAACCGCUUUCAGUAAGGAAGAAGCGAAAGUGACGGUACCUGCAGAAGAAGCACCGGCUAACUACGUG